UACAGAGGUCUCAAGCGUUGUUCGGAUUCAUUGGGCGUAAAGGGUGCGUAGGCGGCGCGGUAAGUCGGGUGUGAAAUCUCGGAGCUUAACUCGGAAAGGUCAACUGAUACUGUGCGACUAGAGUGCGGAAGGGGCAACUGGAAUUCUCGGUGUAGCGGUGAAAUGCGUAGAUAUCGAGAGGAACACCUGCGGCGAAGGCGGGUUGCUGGGCCGACACUGACGCUGAUGCGCGAAAGCCAGGGGAGCGAACGGG
This 253-nucleotide ribosomal RNA is filed under the name uncultured bacterium. Its description in RNAcentral is "partial 16S ribosomal RNA". It matches the Rfam family "Bacterial small subunit ribosomal RNA", at positions 524 to 776 of the family's 1533-position model. The record is from RNAcentral.